This 433-nucleotide ribosomal RNA is filed under the name uncultured bacterium. RNAcentral describes it as "partial 16S ribosomal RNA". It matches the Rfam family "Bacterial small subunit ribosomal RNA", at positions 29 to 507 of the family's 1533-position model. The record is from RNAcentral.
AACGAACGCUGGCGGCAUGCCUAACACAUGCAAGUCGAACGAGACCUUCGGGUCUAGUGGCGCACUGGUGCGUAACGCGUGGGAACCUGCCCUUAGGUUCGGAAUAACUCCCCGAAAGGGGUGCUAAUACCGGAUCAUGUCUUCGGUCCAAAGAUUUAUCGCCUUUGGAUGGGCCCGCGUUGGAUUAGCUAGUUGUUAGGGUAAAAGCCUACCAAGGCUACGAUCCAUAGCUGGUCUGAGAGGAUGAUCAGCCACACUGGUACUGAGACACGGCCCAGACUCCUACGGGAGGGAGCAGUGGGGAAUAUUGGAAAAUGGGCGAAAGCCUGAUCCAGCAAUGCCGCGUGAGUGAUGUAGGCCGUAGGGUUGUAAAGCAAUUUUACCCGGGAUGAUAAUGACAGUACCGGGAGAAUAAGCUCCGGCUAACUCCGUG